RNAcentral lists this non-coding RNA (120 nucleotides) under unclassified sequences. RNAcentral describes it as "RAGATH-11 RNA". It matches the Rfam family "RAGATH-11 RNA". Rfam says of the family: RNA motif Associated with Genes Associated with Twister and Hammerhead ribozymes (RAGATH). The record is from Rfam by way of RNAcentral.
ACGAGAGUUAAGCUCGUAUGCCUGGUUUAGGGUUCCAGGCUAGCCCUAUCUAUCGGUCGAGAUGCGAGCGCUUAAGCUCAAAUUGAGUGGCUGAGUUAGUGGUGAACGUAUCCCUAUGUU